AAAAACAUAGUCUAUAAUAUAAUAAAGUUUUUAAAUAAGGUUAUACAUUAAAAAUGGACUAGUCGCUCCUGCAUAUCGCGAAAGUCAUUAAUAAUCGAGUCAUCAAUAAUCAAUUUUAUAGCAGCAUAUUCGUAUAAUCGAGUCAUCAAUAAUCAAUAAUCAAACUCUAUUGUUUCAGUUGCAUCGAAUCUUAUUCGUUGCAUAUGAGGAAGAUGUAUUUGUAAUCUCUCAACUGAUUUUGAACAUAUUUGUACAAAUAUGCUGCUAUGAGUUUGAUUAUUUAUAGAAUAGUAAAUGACCAUUUACUACUAAUUUAACUUCAUUUUAGCCAAUUUCAAUGAAAAUCUCUUUACCAACCCCAUUCCAAUGAAUUCUAAUAAAAGGACGUCAUUACCGUUGACCUCAUUUAACUCUCUUUCUCUGUUUCUCACUAUCAAAAUCUCUUUCUCUCUCUCUCUCUCUCUCUCUCUCUCUCUCUCUCUCUCUCUCUCUCUCUCUCUCUCUCUCUCUCUCUCUCUCUCUCUCUCCCUCUCCUCUCUCUCUCUCUCUCUCUCUCUCUCUCUCUCUCUUUCCUCUCUCUCUCUCUCUUUCUCUCUCUCUCUCUCUCUCUCUCUCUCUCUCUCUCUCUCUCUCUCUCUCUCUCUCUCUCUCUCUCUCAUAAGGCAUCGCCGACGACGACGGUCGAGAUCGAGCAGCCUCCGAUGAGUCGCUCCACCACAUCCUCUAUAAGGUCUAGCAACCUUGUCGCUGUCGGUCGGCAUGGGAUCUGAAUCCUAUCACGAAGACAAGGCCGACGCUGACGAGAAAAAGAGCGGUGGUAGAUGACGGAGGCAGGGAGACAACAAUCUCCUCGAAGGUAGACUUGGUGAGGAUGGAGAUGUUGCCGUCGGCGGUGUAUUGCUGCAGAGAUUGGAGAAGGUGUGGCCGAAUGUGUGAAGGUGUGGCCGAAUCUGUGAAGGUUUGGAGUGAAGUGACUGCCAAUCUCCUUGGUGGCGGAUUGCUACAGAGAUGCCGGAUUUAUGAAGGUUUUGAGUGAAGCGACGUUUACUACCCCCAGUAAAAGUUUACUAGGGGUAGUAAAUUUUAUUUUUUGCAUCUAAGUUGAUUUUUCUCCGUUUUAAUGUGUACUUAUGACCUUGGAGAUAUUGUUUUGCAAGCUUACUACCCCAGUAUAAGUUUACUGGGGGUAAUAAACUUUAUUUUUUCGCAAGUUUACUACCCCCAGUAAAAGUUUACUAGGGGUAAUAAACUUUAUUUUUUCGCAUCUAGGUUGUUCUUCCUCUGUUUUAGUGUGUAUUAUGGCAUUGAAAAUAUUUUUUUGCAAGUUUACUACCCUUGAUAAAAGAUUACUGGGGGUAGUAAACUUUAGUUUUUCAAAUCUAAAUUGUUCUUCCUCUGUUUUAGUGUGUAUUAUGGUCUUGAAAAUACUGUUUUGCAAGUUUACUACCCCUAGUAAAAGUUUACUAGGGGUAGUAAAUUUUUUUUUUUCAUCUACGUUGAUUUUUCUCCAUUUUAAUGUGUACUUAUAGCCUUAGAGAUAUUAUUUUGCAAGAUUACUACCCCCAGUAAGAUGUUUACUAGGGGUGGUAAACUUUAUUUUUUGCAUAUAUGUUGAUUUUUUCUCUCCUUUAAGGUAUAUAAUGGUCAUAGGAAAACUGUAUUGCAAGUUUACUACCCCCAACAGAAGUUUACUAGUGGUAGUAAACUUUAUUUUUCUGCAUCUAAGUUGAUUUUUCACUGCUUUAAGGUGUAUAAUGGUCAUGGAUAAACUUUAUUUUGAGUUUACUACCCCCAGUAAAAGUUUUCUAGGGGUAGUAAACUUUAUUUUGAGUGACUGGCACCGGAGCCCGAUGUGCUUCCGGCAAAGUCUUCCCUCUAUCUUUUUCACUUUUUCUCUUUAAGUAAAAGCUAAGGGUAAAAAAGUCUUUAAAAAUAUAAUUUUAUUAUAUUUUAAUAAAGAUUUGUGUAUUUGGGCUUAAAAUAAGUACCUUGUAUUCAAAUGGGCUAAUAAAAAAGAUUAUCAUUGAAAUGGGGUUUGACUUUUUCUAUUUUGUGCAAAUGGUCUUUUUCCCUUUAUAGAAGACAAUGCUAAUUGGUGGGGUGAGGUAGAAGUAUAAUUGUAUUAGAAAUAGGUUAAUAUAAAGCUUUUAAUAAAAAAGAUUAUCAUUAAAAUAUGAUUUGACUUUUUCUAUUUUGUGCAAAUGGUCUUUUUCCCUUUAUAGAAGACAAUGUUAAUUGGUGGGGUGAGGUAGAAGUAUAAUUGUAUUAGGAAUAGGUUAAUAUAAAGCUUUUAUUAUUCUUUAUUGGACUAAACACCUAAUUUUUCUAGAAAGAGAAAGUUUUUAUUGUUUUUAUUAGUAAAUCAAACCAAUCUAGAGGACUGGAGGGGUGCCAGCAUAGCUAAAACUUCUAAACUAGCUAGACUCCAAACAUCAAAUGCAGAUAAAAUCAUAAAUCUGGGGGUGCCAUGGCACCCCUUGGUUUCUAUGUACCUGUUUAAGUUUCUUGACCCAUUUCUCUACUGGCGUGCCCCGAGCAUCUAGUCUCUGAUCCGCAGCGCUGCCUAAGAAAUCUUGAAUGUUGGAUAAGGACCGUCUGAGCUUCUCCAGUUCGGUGUGGAACCCCCAUGCAAGACCAAUUUUGUUAGCGGCAAGUGAAGACACCUUGGUCAGAAUCCCCUCAGCAGCGAAAGUGAGCACAAAUUCAGCUGCCAUCUUCUUCCUCACGAACUCUCUGAACAAACAACAGUGUAAGUUGUGCUCCGAUCAAAUAUAAAGGCAGAUGUGUAGAAAGAAUUAGAUACCUUUCUUCCCUAGAUAGGAAAACUAGUGCCCAAAAAGGUCGAGGAAUACGAAUAGGUUGGAUCUGGCAAGGUAAGGUAAGAAUAAUGCUCGUCCUUCUUGAUAGGCUCAUCCUUCUUAAUAUUCAAAACUUGUUGUAAUGUUCAUCCUUCUUGAUAGGCUCAUCCUUCUUAAUAUUCAAAACUUGUUGUAAUGUUCAUCCUUCUUGAUAGGCUCAGGCUCUCUGUAAGGGCUGGACGAGUCUUUCGUAUAAGGACGCUAAGUAAAUAACUACAAUCGAAAGCACACAUAAAGUAAUGUACGUGACUACGUGUGCAUGUAAUUAAAUGCAUAAAGCCUACUAAAGACACCAACUUCAUAAUGCAAGAAGUUACCCUAGUUAACUAUAUGCAACACACAAUACGUAGUUUGUGACUUGGCCCCUACCUUCCUCGAAACUGUACAAUUUUCUUGCUACAGUGUUAAUUGACUAAUAUAUUGAUGGUAGAUUAGAAUUGUAACUAAGAUACUGGAACCCACCAAUGAAUUGAGCAGGAGUUUCUGAAUCGAGAAUGAUGAAGCCUCCUCAAAAGAAAGAAACACCAAUUAAGCUUUUGAAAAAUGAAAAUAAUACAAUAUUAAAUCUCGUAAUUAUUCUUCUCCUAGUUGAUAAUGGCUAUCUAGGUUAUAUUCUAUGAUUAUUUAAAAAAAAAUGUUAGAAAGAAAGGCUUUCCUAAUUCUAGUAGAAAUUAAGAUA
Molecule: long non-coding RNA, 3537 nt
Filed under: Fragaria vesca (wild strawberry)
Lineage: Eukaryota; Viridiplantae; Streptophyta; Magnoliopsida; Rosales; Rosaceae
Description: long non-coding RNA (FVES_LNC003317)
Source: RNAcentral